Molecule: ribosomal RNA, 239 nt
Filed under: Raja asterias (starry ray)
Lineage: Eukaryota; Metazoa; Chordata; Chondrichthyes; Rajiformes; Rajidae
Also listed under: 1 other name
Description: partial 16S ribosomal RNA
Source: RNAcentral
CUAUGGAGCUUUAAACACUUAAGUUAUUACCUUACUUAUCAAUUAAUCUAAAGACCUAACCUACCCUAAUAGUAGCCUAACUUAAUGUUUUCGGUUGGGGCGACCAAGGAGUAAAAGAAAACCUCCUUAUCGAUUGAGUAUUUUUACUUUAAAAACCAGAACGACAGUUCUGAUCAAUAGAAUAUCUAACGAAUAAUGACCCAGGGUUAUACCCUGAUCAAUGAACCAAGUUACCCUAG